AUUGAACGCUGGCGGCAUGCCUUACACAUGCAAGUCGAACGGCAGCACGGGGGCAACCCUGGUGGCGAGUGGCGAACGGGUGAGUAAUGCAUCGGAACGUGCCCAGUAGUGGGGGAUAGCCCGGCGAAAGCCGGAUUAAUACCGCAUACGUACUGAGGUAGAAAGCGGGGGACCGAAAGGCCUCGCGCUAUUGGAGCGACCGAUGUCGGAUUAGCUUGUUGGUGGGGUAAUGGCCUACCAAGGCGACGAUCCGUAACUGGUCUGAGAGGACGACCAGUCACACUGGGACUGAGACACGGUCCAGACUCCUACGGGAGGCAGCAGUGAGGAAUAUUGCACAAUGGGAGGAAUCCUGAUGCAGCGACGCCGCGUGCGGGAUGAAGGGGCUUAGCCUCGUAAACCGCUGUCGGAGGGGACGAAUGGUACAUUUGAUGUACUGAGACGGUACCCUCAAAGGAAGGAUCGGCUAACUACGUGCCAGCAGCCGCGGUAAU
This 494-nucleotide ribosomal RNA is filed under the name uncultured bacterium. RNAcentral describes it as "bacterial SSU rRNA". It matches the Rfam family "Bacterial small subunit ribosomal RNA", at positions 29 to 524 of the family's 1533-position model. The record is from RNAcentral.